UGGGGAAUAUUGCACAAUGGGCGCAAGCCUGAUGCAGCAACGCCGCGUGAGGGACGACGGCCUUCGGGUUGUAAACCUCUUUUAGUAGGGAAGAAGCGAAAGUGACGGUACCUGCAGAAAAAGCACCGGCUAACUACGUGCCAGCAGCCGCGGUAAUACGUAGGGUGCGAGCGUUGUCCGGAAUUAUUGGGCGUAAAGAGCUCGUAGGCGGUCUGUCGCGUCUGCUGUGAAAACCCGAGGCUCAACCUCGGGCCUGCAGUGGGUACGGGCAGACUAGAGUGCGGUAGGGGAGAAUGGAAUUCCUGGUGUAGCGGUGGAAUGCGCAGAUAUCAGGAGGAACACCGAUGGCGAAGGCAGUUCUCUGGGCCGUAACUGACGCUGAGGAGCGAAAGCGUGGGGAGCGAACAGGAUUAGAUACCCUGGCAGUCCACGCCGUAAACGUUGGGCGCUAGAUGUGGGGCACCAUUCCACGGUUUCCGUGUCGCAGCU
This 489-nucleotide ribosomal RNA is filed under the name uncultured bacterium. RNAcentral's name for it is "partial 16S ribosomal RNA". It matches the Rfam family "Bacterial small subunit ribosomal RNA", at positions 355 to 853 of the family's 1533-position model. The record is from RNAcentral.